UGGGCGGGCGGGCGGACGCGGGAGAGGUUGGGCGGGCGGGCGGACGCGGGAGAGGUUGGGCGGGAGGGCGGCCGGACGGACGCGGGAGAGGCCGGCGGGGAGAGCUCGGCCCCGGAGCACGGCACAGAGGUCCCCCGCAACCCCCGACCCGGAGCCAUAAAUUUUCCUUUCCCCGGAGCCGGGAAGGAGAGGGAGAGAGAGGAGAGGGGCAAAACUGCAGGGUCCUAACUUCGGAUAUAAAGCUCGGCCACUCGCUACUUGUGCAGCCUUGGCAGAGAGCCCGCAUCCUGUCCAUACAAGCCUAGCAAGCCACUCAGCCUCUCAUCCUGUCUCCUCUCAAAGUGGGGAUAAUCGCAGCCGUGCAGCGUUGUUGAAAGAAUACAUAAAAGCCGGGCACGGUGGCUCACACCUGUAAUCUCAGCACUUUGGGAGGAUCACUUGAGCCCAGGAGUUCGAGACCAGCCUAAACAAGAGUGAGACUAACCCCCGAUCUCUACAAAAAAAAAAAACAAAAAACAAACUAGCCAGGCAUGGUGACAGUGUGGUCUCAUUUACUCGGGAGGCUGAGGCAGGAGGAUGGCUUGAGCCCAGGAGGUCAAGGCUGCAGAGAGCCAUGAUGGUACCACUGCACUCCAGCCUGGGCAACAAAACGAGACCUUGCCUCAAAAAAAAUAAAGCAUCUAGGCCGGGCGCUGUGGCUCACGCCUGUAAUCCCAGCACUUUGGGAGGCCAAGGCGGGUGGAUCACCUGAGGUCAGGAGUUUGAGACCAGCCUGGCCAACAUGGCAAAAUCCCGUCUCUACUAAAAAUACAAAAUUAGCCGGGCGUGGUGGUGAAUGCCU
This 841-nucleotide long non-coding RNA is filed under the name Homo sapiens (human). RNAcentral describes it as "HSALNT0241292". Lineage: Eukaryota; Metazoa; Chordata; Mammalia; Primates; Hominidae. The record is from RNAcentral.